This 497-nucleotide ribosomal RNA is filed under the name uncultured bacterium. Its description in RNAcentral is "partial 16S ribosomal RNA". It matches the Rfam family "Bacterial small subunit ribosomal RNA", at positions 28 to 507 of the family's 1533-position model. The record is from RNAcentral.
GAUGAACGCUGGCGGCGUGCCUAAUACAUGCAAGUCGAGCGAACAGACGAGGAGCUUGCUCCUCUGACGUUAGCGGCGGACGGGUGAGUAACACGUGGAUAACCUACCUAUAAGACUGGGAUAACUUCGGGAAACCGGAGCUAAUACCGGAUAAUAUAUUGAACCGCAUGGUUCAAUAGUGAAAGACGGUUUUGCUGUCACUUAUAGAUGGAUCCGCGCCGCAUUAGCUAGUUGGUAAGGUAACGGCUUACCAAGGCAACGAUGCGUAGCCGACCUGAGAGGGUGAUCGGCCACACUGGAACUGAGACACGGUCCAGACUCCUACGGGAGGCAGCAGUAGGGAAUCUUCCGCAAAGGGCGAAAGCCUGACGGGGCAACGCCGCGUGAGUGAUGAAGGUCUUCGGAUCGUAAAACUCUGUUAUUAGGGAAGAACAAAUGUGUAAGUAACUAUGCACGUCUUGACGGUACCUAAUCAGAAAGCCACGGCUAACUACGUG